UUCCGGUUGAUCCUGCCGGAGGCUACCGCUAUUGGAGUUCGAUUAAGCCAUGCGAGUCGCGAGAAAUUAGAUUCUCGGCGUACCGCUCAGUAACACGUGGGUAACCUGCCCUAUGCUGGAUAAUAACCUCGGGAAACUGAGAAUAAUGAUCCAUAGUUCACUACGCCUGGAACGGUGAGUGGAUGAAAGCUCCGGCGGCAUAGGAUGGGCCUGCGGCGUAUCAGGUUGUAGGGGGUGUAACGUACCCUCUAGCCCUCUACGCGUACGGGUGUUGGGAGACAUAGCCCGGAGAUGGAUUCUGAGACACGAAUCCAGACCCUACGGGGUGCAGCAGGCGCGAAAACUUGGCAAUGCGAGAAAUCGUGACCAGGGAACUCCAAGUGCAUCGGGUAAGACCGGUGCUUUUCUUGACUCUAAAUAGGUCUUGGAAUAAGGGGUGGGUAAGGACGGUGCCAGCCGCCGCGGUAAUACCGGCGCCUCAAGUGGUAGUCGCUUUUAUUGGGCCUAAAACGUCCGUAGCCGGUCUGAUACAUUCGUGGGUAAAUCAACCAGCUUAACUGGUUGAAUUCUGCGAGGACGGUCAGACUUGGGACCGGGAGAGGUGUGGGGUACGCUCAGGGUAGGGGUAAAAUCCUGUCAUCCUGAGCGGACCACCUGUUGCGAAGGCGCCACACUAGAACGGAUCCGACGGUCAGGGACGAAGCCUAGGGGCACGAACCGGAUUAGAUACCCGGGUAGUCCUAGGUGUAAACGCUGUGGACUUGAUGUUGGGGUGCUCCGAGCACUCUCAGUGUCGAAGCGAAGGUGAUAAGUCCACUGCCUGGGAAGUACGGUCGCAAGGCUGAAACUUAAAGGAAUUGGCGGGGGAGCACCGCAACCUGAGGAUUGUGCGGUUUAAUUGGAUUCAACGCCGG
This 914-nucleotide ribosomal RNA is filed under the name uncultured marine archaeon. RNAcentral describes it as "bacterial SSU rRNA". It matches the Rfam family "Archaeal small subunit ribosomal RNA", at positions 1 to 921 of the family's 1478-position model. The record is from RNAcentral.